RNAcentral lists this long non-coding RNA (199 nucleotides) under Elaeis guineensis (African oil palm). Its description in RNAcentral is "long non-coding RNA (EGUI_LNC040227)". Lineage: Eukaryota; Viridiplantae; Streptophyta; Magnoliopsida; Arecales; Arecaceae. The record is from RNAcentral.
AGCAUCCGUAUUAUUCUCUCUACAUAGUAUACUUUUGUGCUCACUGUAAUAAAUCAUGAUUUUUAAUUUUAUAUCAAUAUGAAAAAAUUAUUUAGAAUAUUAAACAAUAUGUUAAGAUGGUACUUACUCAAUAAAAUCUUCAAUUUCUUUAUAAUUAUUUAGAACGUAAAAGUAUGCCUUGGAUAGCUCAUUCACAUCC